RNAcentral lists this transfer RNA (84 nucleotides) under Felis catus (domestic cat). It matches the Rfam family "tRNA". From Rfam's summary of the family: Transfer RNA (tRNA) molecules are approximately 80 nucleotides in length. Their secondary structure includes four short double-helical elements and three loops (D, anti-codon, and T loops). Further hydrogen bonds mediate the characteristic L-shaped molecular structure. tRNAs have two regions of fundamental functional importance: the anti-codon, which is responsible for specific mRNA codon recognition, and the 3' end, to which the tRNAs corresponding amino acid is attached (by aminoacyl-tRNA synthetases). tRNAs cope with the degeneracy of the genetic code in two manners: having more than one tRNA (with a specific anti-codon) for a particular amino acid; and 'wobble' base-pairing, i.e. permitting non-standard base-pairing at the 3rd anti-codon position. The record is from Rfam by way of RNAcentral. Lineage: Eukaryota; Metazoa; Chordata; Mammalia; Carnivora; Felidae.
ACCUGAGUGGCUCAGUUGGUUGAGCAUCUGACUUCAGCUCAGGUCGUGAUCUGCGGUCUGUGAGUUCGAGCCCCGCAUCGGGCU